RNA transcript from Ananas comosus (pineapple), 997 nucleotides. RefSeq lists it as uncharacterized. The transcript has 5 exons. The record is from RefSeq and is a predicted model, not a curated record. Lineage: Eukaryota; Viridiplantae; Streptophyta; Magnoliopsida; Poales; Bromeliaceae.
AAAUAAAAGAAAAGAAAAGAAAAAAAAUCUCUCACACAGAUCAUCUUCUCCCCCAAACCCCCAAACCCUUCUCAACCCUCAAACAUAACCCUUCCCACUCGACCAUGGCGAACUCUCACCAUGGCAAGCUCUCUCCCGUGAUCUCCCAUGGCGAGCUCUCACCAUGUCCUUCCUGCGGCAUUCUCUCUCAUCUCGUGUCGAUCUCCUCUCCGCAAAACAUCUUCGCCUAGGUCGAUCUCUGCAGAGGGGAGAAGGUGAACUCCAUUUUGAAAUUGAUCCAAAGCUUGAUUUCCUUUUUCCUGCUAGAUCUCGCCCUACACACCUUCGCCUCUAUUGGGAUCGCCAUUUCCAUCUACGUCUAAGCAAGAAUAGUGCUGCAAGACUUCUUCUAGGCUUUCAUGCGUGUAUAGGAAGCGGAAGUGAAAGGUUACUGCCUGAAUGGUACUCUGAAAAAGGUUCAUUCAACGAAGAAAGCAAAAAUUGUUUUACUUUGCUCGAGACCGAAACACAAACCUGCGAGGCUAGGUCUAUAACGUGCUGCACUUUUCUCCUGCUGAUUCCAGCCGGCAAAAGAGGAAGAUGAAAACCGCUCUCGUUUUUCUACUUCCAUGUGCAAUUAUAUUUUCACGUUCGUUCGAAUCCUAAGUUUGGAAGGGUUACUGCUACAGAUGUUUUGGCUGUAGAAUGGAUUCAAAGUGGAGUUGUCCACUAUGGUGCAACUGUCUCAUACUUUGGCUUUUUUAGCGAUGGUAACGAGUUCUUACUCCAGGAGUUGUAGCUAAAAGUUCAAGUAUAUAUUCGUGGAGUCGAUCAGAAUUUGUUUAUGCACUUUUUGAUUUUGUUAUCAUACAAUUUUUGAUUUUUUGUAUUUCUUUCAAUUAGAGAGUUUGAUUUGUUAUAAUUACUACAACGUAUGAGUGGAUAUUAUUGUUGUGACGUAUGGAUAUUUGAUUUUAGUUUUAUCUUUUUAACAAGAAUUUAAGAAAUUUUGUUGAUU